GAAAUGCGAUAAGUAGUGUGAAUUGCAGAAUUCAGUGAAUCAUCGAAUCUUUGAACGCACAUUGCGCCCUUUGGUAUUCCAAAGGGCAUGCCUGUUCGAGCGUCAUUUGUACCCUCAAGCUUUGCUUGGUGUUGGGCGUCUUGUCUCUAGCUUUGCUGGAGACUCGCCUUAAAGUAAUUGGCAGCCGGCCUACUGGUUUCGGAGCGCAGCACAAGUCGCACUCUCUAUCAGCAAAGGUCUAGUAUCCAUUAAGCCUUUUUUUCAACUUUUGACCUCGGAUCAGGUAGGGAUACCCGCUGAACUUAAGC
This 308-nucleotide unclassified non-coding RNA is filed under the name plant metagenome. RNAcentral describes it as "partial contains 5.8S ribosomal RNA, internal transcribed spacer 2, and large subunit ribosomal RNA". The stretch from base 1 to 105 matches the Rfam family "5.8S ribosomal RNA", at positions 50 to 154 of the family's 154-position model. The record is from RNAcentral.